UAUCGUUUCGUCGCGCCCUAGUUCCUGAAUAGGGCAGCAUAAGGGGCCAGCCACUGUUAAUAACAAGGUAGGGCCGCGCUUAACAUGUUGCGAUCGAUUCAGUUAGUGUGGAUGAUGCAAGGUGCAAGACAGCGGCCCUGUAGGUCACCCUACCCCUGUUGGCCAAGAGAGAUGAUGGCCCAGGUGUGAAACCCUGAGUGGCACGUGCACGCUUUCCACCUCUAGCUCCACCCUUUCCAAAACCUUCUAUCACUAAUGGAUAUUGCCCUUUCUCAUGUAGAGCCUCCUAGAAGCAAAGCUUCAGCAAGCCAAUCAGGCUCUCAUGAAGACUUUCAGCGGCGACGGCUGUCAUGCGCUCAACGAGCUGCGUUCGUACCGCGUGCCGCCACCGUUGACGUUCGGUGUGCUACAGUGCGUGCUGAUGCUCUCCGGUAACGAUGAGGAGGAUUGCCGCAAUUGGGCGCGCAUGCGUACGCUCUGUACUCAGCGGCUUAUCAAACGGCUGGUAACGUUACGGCCAGUGCAGGUGGGCACAGGGUUCCGGGUGCAUUGGUGCUGUUCCAGACGGGUUUAGAUGGAGUGGUUUCGCUCGAAAUUUGUGUAACCAGGCUGUAGGCUUGAGAAGACGGACCAAAUUAAGGGUGAGAACAUGGGAGUUGCCCAUGUGUAUCGAGGUCCGUGGAUGCACCCUGCUAUGUGGUCAUGCCCAUCAAGUGUAGCCGUGUCAAUAUGGUGUCAUGCAUAACGCGCAUUUCCGGAUGCACUGCUGAGCUGCAAGCAGACAGCUUUGGAGAGCCUUUGAAAGAGCGUUCCCGGCUGGAACGCGCGCUUCCAGAAGUUUCAGCUUUUCUUCGCAAUGCUCCUGUUCUAAUUAUUUGUCUAUUCCACUCUUUGGCCGUGCCUGAAGGUGCCUCGUCGUGUCUUCAAAGCCGUGAGGCGAUUGGUGGGUGACCUGGUGGAGAGCGAAGUCAAGCAAGAGAGCGUGGCCACUUUCAGCCUCUACCGCUGGCUGAGCGAUUUCACACGGCUUGCGUCAGUAGCAUAGACGAGCUGCAGCUGGGGUUGAAGUUAUAAAAGGGCUACCGGGGAAAGUUAACGGUAUGAAGUGAUUUAGUUGGAAACCAUCUACGUCGCGCUUACUGGAGGGCAUUCUCAAAGACCGUCUUAACCGCAUGGUGGCAAGUUGCUCGGGCAUGUGGGGCGCUUAGGGUAGGGUAAGCUUGACAUGUAUACCGUCGUUUCCCGCUGAUGGACGUGCGGAAUACUGAAGGUCGAGGUGUUCGACGUUUGUCAACAGCGCUCCUGGCGUAGCAUGCGAGUAUUGCAGGAUUGAGGCUAGAUUUUGACGUCGUUUAAGGGCAGGGGGCUGUGUGAGUUCUGUAGCCAUUGUGGAAAAACAGCACUAUUGCGUGACCUUGCGAACAGUUGCCGGGUUUGCUAUUCAUCGUGGAUUUUACUUAUAGGCGCAAUUCCUGCCCCUGCUCUGCGAGACAGCUUAGGUUAUGGAUUGUGGCGAGCCUUCGGUUCUCCCUCCCACAUAGUUCCAGAUGCAUUCUGCGAUGGAAGCGGGCCCACCACAAUUUCUGUGGCUGCUCCUCGCAUGUUCCACGAACUUGGAAGUGAAGACCCCGCGCGUCUCUCAAACGCGAAAGUCGGUGGGUAGGCUGCCGUCAGUUGAUGCCGCGCGGAAAUGCGCCUUAUGCUGCUGAAAGGCGGGUCAUGCAGGAGGGGUUACGUACACAGGGCAGCAUCGGGUCACAAAUAAGCUUGGCAGGUCCAUGAUAAAGGUAUGGUAAAGUUAACAUAGCAGAAAUCCUUGCGAACAGGCUUCUUGGCACCGAAGUGUUCCCC
Molecule: long non-coding RNA, 1851 nt
Filed under: Volvox carteri
Lineage: Eukaryota; Viridiplantae; Chlorophyta; Chlorophyceae; Chlamydomonadales; Volvocaceae
Description: long non-coding RNA (VCAR_LNC001572)
Source: RNAcentral